GACGAACGCUGGCGGCGUGCUUAACACAUGCAAGUCAAACGGAAAGGCCCUGCUUUUGUGGGGUGCUCGAGUGGCGAACGGGUGAGUAACACGUGAGUAACCUGCCCUUGACUUUGGGAUAACUUCAGGAGACUGGGGCUAAUACCGGAUAGGAGCUCCUGCUGCAUGGUGGGGGUUGGAAAGUUUCGGCGGUUGGGGAUGGACUCGCGGCUUAUCAGCUUGUUGGUGGGGUAGUGGCUUACCAAGGCUUUGACGGGUAGCCGGCCUGAGAGGGUGACCGGCCACAUUGGGACUGAGAUACGGCCCAGACUCCUACGGGAGGCAGCAGUGGGGAAUAUUGCACAAUGGGCGGAAGCCUGAUGCAGCAACGCCGCGUGCGGGAUGACGGCCUUCGGGUUGUAAACCGCUUUCGCCUGUGACGAAGCGUGAGUGACGGUAAUGGGUAAAGAAGCACCGGCUAACUACGUG
This 468-nucleotide ribosomal RNA is filed under the name uncultured bacterium. RNAcentral's name for it is "partial 16S ribosomal RNA". It matches the Rfam family "Bacterial small subunit ribosomal RNA", at positions 28 to 507 of the family's 1533-position model. The record is from RNAcentral.